Molecule: long non-coding RNA, 394 nt
Filed under: Rattus norvegicus (Norway rat)
Lineage: Eukaryota; Metazoa; Chordata; Mammalia; Rodentia; Muridae
Description: long non-coding RNA NONRATT020970
Source: RNAcentral
GUGGCUUCCUUUCUUAAGCCUCUCUCAGUCUUGGUCCCAAACCUGAGAGGCUUGUGCCUGGGAGAGCCCAGCCACUGAGCCGUGAUGUGAGAAGCCAAGACCGGCGGCGGAAGGUAUCCUCUCAGUGGCACACUCAGAGACACAGGUGUACAAAUAGCCACCUGAGACCUGACCUGAAGCCAGAGGAAACCAGCUGAAAGCCUGCAGAUCAGACCCAACAUGUGCAGCACCAGUGUGUACGACCUGGAAGAUAUCCCCCUGGAAGACGAUGAUCCGAACAGCAUAGAGUUCAAAAUCCUGGCCUUCUAUGCCAGACACCAUGUCUUCAAGAGCACCCCGGCUGUCUUCUCCCCCAAGCUCUCCAGGACCAGAAGUUUGUCCCAGAAAGCACUGG